Molecule: ribosomal RNA, 578 nt
Filed under: uncultured bacterium
Lineage: Bacteria
Description: bacterial SSU rRNA
Rfam family: Bacterial small subunit ribosomal RNA
Source: RNAcentral
CCUACGGGAGGCAGCAGUAAGGAAUAUUGGUCAAUGGACGAAAGUCUGAACCAGCCAUGCCGCGUGAAGGAUGAAGGCCCUCUGGGUUGUAAACUUCUUUUAUCUGGGACGAAAAAAGCUCAUUCUUGAGCACUUGACGGUACCAGAGGAAUAAGCACCGGCUAACUCCGUGCCAACAGCCGCGGUAAUACGGAGGAUGCAAGCGUUAUCCGGAUUCAUUGGGUUUAAAGGGUGCGCAGGCGGAGUGUUAAGUCAGUGGUGAAAUCUCUCGGCUCAACCGGGAAACUGCCAUUGAUACUGACAUUCUUGAGUAUUGUUGAGGUAGGCGGAAUGUGUCAUGUAGCGGUGAAAUGCUUAGAUAUGACACAGAACACCGAUCGCGAAGGCAGCUUACCAAGCAAUAACUGACGCUCAUGCACGAAAGCGUGGGGAUCAAACAGGAUUAGAUACCCUGGUAGUCCACGCCGUAAACGAUGAUCACUCGAUGUUGGCGAUACACAGUCAGCGUCUUAGGGAAACUAUUAAGUGAUCCACCUGGGGAGUACGGUCGCAAGAUUGAAACUCAAAGGAAUUGACGG